GAUGAACGCUAGCGAUAGGCUUAACACAUGCAAGUCGAGGGGCAGCAUGGUCUUAGCUUGCUAAGACUGAUGGCGACCGGCGCACGGGUGCGUAACGCGUAUGCAACUUGCCUCACAGAGGGGGAUAACCCGUCGAAAGACGGACUAAUACCGCGUACACUUGGGAUAGGGCAUCCUGACCCAAGGAAGUGAAAUUCGCUGUGAGAUAGGCAUGCGUCCCAUUAGCUAGUUGGUGAGGUAACGGCUCACCAAGGCGACGAUGGGUAGGGGAACUGAGAGGUUGAACCCCCACACUGGUACUGAGACACGGACCAGACUCCUACGGGAGGCAGCAGUGAGGAAUAUUGGUCAAUGGGCGAGAGCCUGAACCAGCCAAGUCGCGUGAAGGAUGACUGUCUUAUGGAUUGUAAACUUCUUUUAUACGGGAAUAACAAGAGCCACGUGUGGCUCCCUGCAUGUACCGUAUGAAUAAGCAUCGGCUAACUCCGUG
RNAcentral lists this ribosomal RNA (490 nucleotides) under uncultured bacterium. RNAcentral's name for it is "partial 16S ribosomal RNA". It matches the Rfam family "Bacterial small subunit ribosomal RNA", at positions 28 to 507 of the family's 1533-position model. The record is from RNAcentral.